RNAcentral lists this ribosomal RNA (422 nucleotides) under uncultured bacterium. Its description in RNAcentral is "bacterial SSU rRNA". It matches the Rfam family "Bacterial small subunit ribosomal RNA", at positions 29 to 455 of the family's 1533-position model. The record is from RNAcentral.
AGCGAACGUUUGCGGCGGGCCUAACACAUGCAAGUCGAACGCACUAGCAAUAGUGAGUGGCGCACGGGUGCGUAACACGUGGGUAAUCAACCCUUCAGCCUGGGAUAACGACUCGAAAGGGUCGCUAAUACCGGAUACGGCGCGAGAGGCUUCGGCUUCUCACGAGAAAGCCACGCAAGGGGCACUGAAGGACGAGCCUGCGGCCCAUCAGCUAGUUGGUGAGGUAAGAGCUCACCAAGGCUAAGACGGGUAGCUGGUCUGAGAGGAUGAUCAGCCACACUGGAACUGAGACACGGUCCAGACUCCUACGGGAGGCAGCAGUGGGGAAUAUUGCGCAAUGGGCGAAAGCCUGACGCAGCCACGCCGCGUGAGCGAUGAAGGCCUCGGUCGUAAGACGUCUGUGGGGAGGAGACGAAGAAAGA